GGCGAAGGCGGCUGUCUGGUCUGUAACUGACGCUGAGGCUCGAAAGCAUGGGUAGCGAACAGGAUUAGAUACCCUGGUAGUCCAUGCCGUAAACGAUGAAUGCUAGGUGUUGGAGGGUUUCCGCCCUUCAGUGCCGCAGCUAACGCAUUAAGCAUUCCGCCUGGGGAGUACGACCGCAAGGUUGAAACUCAAAGGAAUUGACGGGGGCCCGCACAAGCGGUGGAGCAUGUGGUUUAAUUCGAAGCAACGCGAAGAACCUUACCAGGUCUUGACAUCUUUUGAUCACCUGAGAGAUCAGGUUUCCCCUUCGGGGGCAAAAUGACAGGUGGUGCAUGGUUGUCGUCAGCUCGUGUCGUGAGAUGUUGGGUUAAGUCCCGCAACGAGCGCAACCCUUAUGACUAGUUGCCAGCAUUUAGUUGGGCACUCUAGUAAGACUGCCGGUGACAAACCGGAGGAAGGUGGGGAUGACGUCAAAUCAUCAUGCCCCUUAUGACCUGGGCUACACACGUGCUACAAUGGAUGGUACAACGAGUUGCGAGACCGCGAGGUCAAGCUAAUCUCUUAAAGCCAUUCUCAGUUCGGACUGUAGGCUGCAACUCGCCUACACGAAGUCGGAAUCGCUAGUAAUCGCGGAUCAGCACGCCGCGGUGAAUACGUUCCCGGGCCUUGUACACACCGCCCGUCACACCAUGAGAGUUUGUAACACCCGAAGCCGGUGGCGUAACCCUUUUAGGGAGCGAGCCGUCUAAGGUGGGACAAAUGAUUAGGGUGAAGUCGUAACAAGGUAGCCGUAGGAGAACCUGCGGCUGGAUCACCUCCUUU
Molecule: ribosomal RNA, 822 nt
Filed under: Lacticaseibacillus rhamnosus
Lineage: Bacteria; Bacillati; Bacillota; Bacilli; Lactobacillales; Lactobacillaceae
Description: bacterial SSU rRNA
Rfam family: Bacterial small subunit ribosomal RNA
Source: RNAcentral